AGAUCUUAACGAAGGUACCUUUAAUUUGUAUUUGGCUAUGUCUAAUUUUUCAUAGUUCUUGUUGGGAUGAGUUUCAAAUUUUUUCUUUCCUGGUUACAAACUUUACCUCCUGUUUGGAUGCAGAGAAAAUUGUGGUAAUGUGAAGGAAUCAUGUGGCUAUGUUUUUAGUCCAAGAUUAGUAUUCCUUGUCUUCUUUUCUUGGAUCAUAUAUAAGUUUAGGAUUCACACAAUUCUGUAAUUAUUUUUCAAGGUUCUAUUAUUGAUCAUUACAAGAUAUACAACACAAGAAAAUAAAUUACAGAAUUGUGUGAAUCCUA
RNAcentral lists this unclassified non-coding RNA (317 nucleotides) under Hevea brasiliensis (rubber tree). Lineage: Eukaryota; Viridiplantae; Streptophyta; Magnoliopsida; Malpighiales; Euphorbiaceae. The record is from RNAcentral.